RNAcentral lists this ribosomal RNA (460 nucleotides) under Polynoidae sp. 2 SP-2014. RNAcentral describes it as "partial 16S ribosomal RNA". It matches the Rfam family "Bacterial large subunit ribosomal RNA", at positions 1809 to 2567 of the family's 2925-position model. The record is from RNAcentral. Lineage: Eukaryota; Metazoa; Annelida; Polychaeta; Phyllodocida; Polynoidae.
AAAAACAUUGCUUUUAGAUACAACAUUAAAAGUUCAUCCUGCCCAGUGAUACUUCAACGGCCGCGGUACCCUAACCGUGCAAAGGUAGCAUAAUCAUUUGCCUUUUAAUUGAAGGCUAGUAUGAACGGACAAACGAAAUUACUACUGUAUCCUCCUUACCAAAUAAAAUUUAGACUACAGGUGAAGAUACCUGUAUCACAUUGAAAGACAAGAAGACCCUAUAGAGUUUUAGUUUUAAAUACCUACCCACUACUUAAUAAACUUUGGUUGGGGCGACCUAGGAAUUCUAUAAACAUCCUUUAAAGAACCGACUUCAUGUCUCCUAACAGAUCCUAAUAAUAGAACUCAAAACAAACUACCUUAGGGAUAACAGGCUUAUCUUCCUAGAGAGUUCAAAUUGACAGGAAGGUCUGGCACCUCGAUGUUGGCUUAGAAUAACCUAGUAACGCAAAAGUUAUAU